This 22313-nucleotide long non-coding RNA is filed under the name Citrus maxima (pomelo). RNAcentral's name for it is "long non-coding RNA (CMAX_LNC001091)". The record is from RNAcentral. Lineage: Eukaryota; Viridiplantae; Streptophyta; Magnoliopsida; Sapindales; Rutaceae.
UUUGGGGGGUGCUUAUUAGUUGAAUUAGUAAACUUUCUUAUAUUAAGAUCUAAAGUUAGAACCUUACUCGUAAGCAGAGAGAGGAGAUUGAAAUGUCGUAAUGCUAAAUAAUUAUAUAUAUAUAUUACAAAACAAUUGAUUUUAGAUACUAGUAGUACCUUAGAUAUUUUCCAUUGAAAAUUUGACCAAAUUUAAUUUUUAGAAAUAAGGUGGAUAUGUGGUUGUGAUGUUAACACGUAAGCAGGCAAUUAUUCAAUAAACUUUUUCCAUAUGCACUAGCAAUAAUGCUAUAUUUUAGUCUUAUUUUGUGUUGUAACUUUUAAGCUGUAAUUACUAUAAAAAAAAUUGUAGUAAUAAAAUAAAAAUUAAUAGUGUAUAGUAAAUAUGACUAUUAAAUAAUAAUGUUAACAAAAAUAGUAAAGAUAUUAAAGUUUUUAACGUAAAAAUAACUGAUCAAAUUAAUUUACUUUUCAAUUUACAGUAACUAGUGUUUAAUAAACACUUUAGUGUUGUAGUUUUUAAACUAUAAUUGUCUAACCUCAAUACUAAAUGGGACCUUACUAAGUUUAGAUACUUAAUUAGGAUACUUGCUGAUGUGUCAUCAAUCAUUUAAUGCCAUGUGUAUGAUAAUAAUUGAUUUUAUUAUCAAUUAUUAAUCUAUUAUUUUUAUAACUCAAUUAAUGGUUGACACAUAAUAUGCCAUAUUAUUAAGUAUCCUAAUUAAACAUCCAAAGAGAAGGAAGCAUAACAUUACUCAUACACUAAUUACUAAAUUUAAAAUCAUCAUAAAUAUGUGAAAUUACGUUGGAUGUUGAUGUGCUCACAAUUGAUGAUGUUAACACCACUAGACUUUCUUGGUAGGGUGUGAGACUGCGACUCUGAAUAUAUGUAGUGUAUAUACUUCAAUCAAACUUUCCAUUUUUCAAUUUUAUUUAUGCUGGUUUCGUCGCAAUUUCCAAUAAUAUUACAACUUUUUAAAAAGCAAUCCGUGACACCUAGAUAUUUUGCACAAACGAAUGUAAUUAGCAAUUAGCGGUGUGUUUGCCUCUUGGAAAGGGAUUGAGAUUCUCUUGCGUUAUUGAUAAUGUUUAUUUGCUAUAAAAGGAACCGGAAUGAAUUUUAAAUGGGAUCCACAAAUUUUAAGAAAUAAGAAUUACAUUUUUAUAGAGAAUUUGAGAAUGAAAAUGAGAUAAUGAGAACGGAGAGUGUAUUGAUAUUUUUACACAUAAAUAGAAUAAAAAAUUCAUUUUACCCAUUUAAAUACUAGAUGAUGAUGAUGAUGCUGAUAAUAAUAAUAAUAAUAAUUACAGUAAAAAUAUUUGCUCUUUAUUUUGUUAGUGAACAAAUACAUAAUUAUAACUACGAGUAUUUUAAUAACUUGUGACAAUUCAUUCCGAUUACAAGAUAAAAUAAACAUAUUAAUAGAAAUAUAACUCUAUCUUUAAUUCUGAUUCUGUUUCUGAUUCUUGUAACUCAAGUUAAUAAUUUACUAUUAUUUUUAUUCAUCAUCUUGAUUCCAACUUAUUCUAUUCAUACUCAUUCCUUCCGAUUCCGAAAAAUUAAAGAACCGUAAGUCUGUUGUGAUGAACACGUAUAGGACACUCUCUUAAGCUUUGCCAAUGGAGUCAAGGUUAAGUCAAAAUACCCUUUUACGGUUAAAGCCGAAAUUCAUACAGUGGAUUUUGUAAAUUCUGAAAAAGUGAUAGGCCCACAGCAACAUUAACAGCGAGCCAGCAAGCUCCCCCACCAUCCUCUCAUCAAAUUAGCAAACGCUUUUUCAGUAGCAUCUCAUGAUAGUAAUAGUCUUUUGUUUCUUUUUUCGUCGGCAAUUGACUUUUCUUUUCCGUGAUAAAAACCCAGGCAAAACUUACAUCUAUUAAGUAAUUUAAGGAACUAACAGAGGGAAAUAAAAAUAAUCCUGAUGGAGAACAACCCUAGUUCCUCUAGAACUGACAGAAAAACCAUUGAGAGAAAUAGAAGAAAUCAAAUGAAGGCCCUUUACUCCACUCUCAAUUCUAUUGUGCCCCAUCAAAGACCUAUGGUAUAUAUCUCUCUCUCAACAACAUUAAUUUUCUAACUGAUCAUUUCUGUUUUUCUUUUCGGUUUAAUCAACAUGGAGUUGCAGGAAGCGACAUCACUACCUGAUCAGCUAGAUGAAGCUACCAAGUACAUAAAGAGGUUACAGACAAACUUGGAGAGAAUGAAGGAGAGAAAAGAGAGGUUAAUGGGAAUUGAAAAGCCUGAUGCAGCUGCACCCACAAGCAGCAGUGGGAAUAGUAGUGGAACAAUAACGACCGGGUUAAGGUCACCGCAAAUUGAGAUUCACGAAAUGGGUUCGGCUUUGGAGGUGGUUUUGACAACUGGGUUGGAUUUUCAGUUCAUGUUUAUUGAGACUAUUCGCUUGCUCCACGAAGAAGGUGUUGAAAUAGUCAAUGCCAGUUUCAAUGUUGUUGAAGAUACCAUCUUUCACACAAUACAUUCUAAGGUAUUAUUAAUUAAGUUGCACAAACAUAUUACAUAUAUAACAAUCAUCUUUAGGUUUUCUAAUUAAGAAUGUUUCAGUGGUUUACAAAUUUCUUUUGGCUGUUUAAAUUGUGAAGCAGAUUGGAGAUUCUGGGUCGGACCAUGAUGCUUCAGCAAGGAUAUCAGAGAGACUGAAGAAGUUUGGCCAAGAUGGUAGUGCAUUUUGAAGUAUACGGUAAGAUGCAUGAUUCCUUUUUUAUGGAGGAAGCAUGUAAGGUUCAUCACUCAAUAUAUUUGCAUCAAUAUGAUCUAGAAACCUAAAUGCUCUAAUUAAAAAGUGUGCCCAUUGAGGAUUUUUUGUUCUUAGUAGUCUUUCCAUCUUGGUUUUUGUGUUGAUGCAGUUGAAAAAAAGAACUGUAUUUGACUGUCUAGCUAUCGACACAAUAACCCUAGCUAAUUAAAGUGUGAUUAGAGUUCUGUGUGUUAUUAAUUAAUUCUAGUUAAACUACGGCUAGUGCAGCAGCUUUUGAAUAUUUCAUCUGGUAAUGUGUUCAGACGACUAUUUGCUUUCAAAUGCUACGAUAAUUGCUUGAUUAAUAUUGGAUUACACUUAGUUGCUUGAUUAAUUUUGGGUUACACUUAAUUUGAUGAUCAUAAUGUGGAUUUGAUAAAGCUAGCGUUAAUUAUUUAUGCUUCUGCUGGUUAUAUCUUAUUGGCUACAAAUGGGCACAUUUGGUCUCGUCUGUUUAGAUUAAUAUAUAAAAAUCUUGACCUCUCAAUGUUCCUUGUUCAUCACAUGUUGACGUUGACAUUCCUUCCAUUCUUAUAUUAAAUAGCUAGAUUAACAUGUAAUGUUUACAUACAAGUACAGCAUGUAUCUUCUAAAUUGUUAGAGGAGAUAAUCAAUUUGGUUGCGACUUUUGAAUUUGAGAUUGGUAACGGAAAAUCAUGUUUGUAUUCAACUUAUAUAUACAAUAGAUAUAUAUGGCUACUAGUUUUGAAGACUUUAGCAAGAUGAGUGGCAACUGGCAAGAGUAUAAAGAUCUUCUAAAUGUGUCAAAUUGUUUGUAAAAUUAGAUACACUUUUUUUUAGGUGUGAAAAAAUGAUUUUUUUUUUUUUUUUUUUUGAAAGAGUGAAAAAAUGAGUUUAUUUCCUUCUUCUUCCUUUUUUUUUUUUUUCCUUUCUUUUUCCCCACUUCAAAGAUGAUUGAUGACUGGUCAUUUAUAUGUUUGAAGCAGUCAAGAAGACUGACAUGGGAUGAAGUCAUGAAGGGUAUUGAAGGGAUAUGUUGUUGAAGGAUUGCACGCAUAAAUAUAAUAUUUGAUUCUCGCGGGUCCAUUUCCUCAUGAGGCCAUAUUUGCAAUUUAAUUUUAGAGCAUAAAAUAUUUUUUCAUGAUCAAAUAAAUCAGAAAGUAGAAAUUUAAACGAGUAUUGAUUCUUCUGAGCUGAGGAAAAUAUUUAAGUGACAGAGAAUAGAGUUUCAUUUAUUUUUUUUCCCCCUCAACUACUUGUGCUAGAAAAUAAAUAAAGUCUAAGUCAAUCUGAACACAAUAAUGUUUACAGUUACAUAAUUUGUAUUUAACUAAUAAUAUCACUAGACAUCCCAUGUUGAAAUUAAUUUAGGCUUUUUCAAGUUUUCAAACCAACAGGACCCAUUCCUCUUUGCGUUGUAGUGGUCUAGUUACACAACACUGCUCAUCUUUAUAUAUGCUAUCGUGGUAAUUUGGGUGCAUUUGGCCUGCCGGAUUAAAUUAGAUAUGAUAGUAUUAGGUUAACUAGGAUUGUACUGGAUAUUAAAUAGCCAGAUUGCUAGAACAUGCAAUGUUCACAAGCGACUGCAUGCAUAUUAUUCUAAAUCCUACACUUUAGAAUUUGAGAUUGGUAUGAGAAAUCAAAUCAUGUUUGCAAUCAGCUUAUAAAACAUUUAUUAUAUGGCCACAGAUUUUGAAGACUCCGGGAAGAUGAGUGACAACUAGCAAAAGUUAAAGAAUAUUUCUAUGUCAAAAUUGCUUGUAAAUUCAGAUGCACUUUGGUUUAAGGUGUGAGAGAAUGAGUUUGCUUCUUUAUUAAUUUCUUCCUUUUUAAUUAAACCCGUCGAAGAUUAUUGAUGUCUGGCCAUAUGUUUGCAUGUUAAAAGCGCUAAUGCAAGUCUUCAGACACAAUUGCAUAUUAAUUGAUGUAUUAAUUAAUGAGAAGAGACAUUUUAGUAAUAAAGUCAAUUAAUAUUGCACGUAGAGGUUUAUUUCAUCAUAUUAUGUACAACAGAACAGAAUAAUGCAUAAAGGGCAACAGUGUAUGUUGCCAUGCAAUGCGAUAUAUAUAUAUAUAGAAAAAGAAAAAAAAAAAGGUGCCACAUGGUUACUGUUUUAAUUUUUCCUUCAAGACUAGAAACUUAGAAAGUAAAAUAAAAUGGAGCGUAAAUCUGAAUGCAUUGGCUUAUAUGAUUAUGGCCAUAGCAGAAGAGAUCUCCUUCCUUAUCCACUCAUUUUGUGGCUACAUCAAUUCCAGUGCUGGUAAUCAGUAAUCAGUGUAGCUAAUAAAUAAAAGCAUAUUACCCAGUUUUGAGGCACGCAAGGCUGCUUCGAGUUUUCAAAUCAAUGGUGGGGUUGGUGGGAUCCAUCCCCUGUGUUGUUGUGGUCAGGGUUCAAACUUCAAAAUGUUUAUCCAUACACUACGCAAUUAUACUACGACACUGCUCAGUGCCAAGUUUAGGAGAGAUUUAUAAACAGUUAUAAUGUAUUACAAUUAACUAAUGGGGGUGGGCGUUGGUUAGGAUCGAUUUCGUUUUGGAAUAAAUUUUUUAUUUCGGUUUAAUUCGGAUUUGAAAUUUAAAAAAAAAUCAUCCAGUCUUUAAGGAUAAUAAAAAUAGAAUCGAAACUAAUAGUUUAGUUUGGUACGAUUUCUCAAUUUUUCAGUUCGGUUUUAAUUUUUUAGUUUGGUUUUGAUUUUUCGGUGAUGGUUUAGAUUAACAAAUUAAUUUUUUGGUUCGACUUAACUUGUACACAAGAUCUACUACGAUCAAUGUAUAAUAAAUAAAAAUAAAUAAUUUAUAAAUUGGUAUUCACAAAAAAAAAAAAAAUUGCAAUCAUUUUGGACUAUAAUGAAGAAUUUUCGUAAUUAUUAUGACUAUCUUUAAUAUAAAAAAAUUUGGACUAAAAUUUAAAUAAAAUAAAUUAAGUUUCCAUGCCAUAAUAGUCUUAUCAAAACUUUAGGGACCAUAACAAUAUUUUACCCAACAACUUCCUUUCAAGGUGGACCCUCUUUAAAAGUUUACAAAAAAUAUUACGACAUAACAAAAUUUCUACAUGCAAACAUUUCGUAAACAUUGGGUGAUACUAAAAUUUUAUAAAGGAUAGGGAUCAAAAUGAUAUUAUCGAUUCAGUUCGGGUUUUGUUACUCUCGGUUCAAUUUCAAAUGGUUUGGUUUGGUACUUUUACAUUUUUUUAGCUUUAAAAAUAUUGAAUCGAAACUGAAAAAAACCUAACCAUUAUGCGUGUGUGUAAUUAAAUUUAAUAUAAUCAUUAUUUAUAUGGUGAUUUUUUAAAAUAAAUACGCAUAUGUCAUAGCAUCAUUUACUUGUUAUAUUUCUGAAAUCAUACCUCUAAUAUAUUCUAAAAUUUCUCCAUCUUUAGAUAUAUUAACAAUAUUUUAUCGUCACUUCGGCCUUGGCCGAAGUGGUGGGCUGCUGCCCUCACAAGCAGUUCUAGCCCCCACAAAAGCAUUGUGGGGGCUAAAUGUUCUUUAUAUUUAAAAAUAUUUCUCCCUUGCGAAAUACAAGUGGAGUAUGGACAUCCCUCUCCUGUGAGGGGUUAUUUGUCUGGGCAUCUUCUUCAUAGAAUUCAAUGUAAUAAUGUAAGUCCCAAUCAUGUAUAUCUGAUUGUAAAUAUCAGUGUAAUAUCUCUGCUACAAUAGCAGUUGUUGUAAAUAUCUGUGUAAUGCAGUCAUCUGAUGAUUAAUCAGUAUUCAAAAAAAAAAAAUAACAUUUUAUCAAAGACUUUCAACCGGAAUAAUAAUAAUAAUAAUAAUAAUAAUAAUAAUAAUAAUAAUAAUAACUAAAUACUUAUAAUCUAUAAAUGAUAAUAUUAAAAAAAUAAUAUAACCACACGCACAAACCCAGGUGGGUGCAGGUUUGAAUAGACACAGGCUGACAGGCGUAGGGAUGGCAAAAUCUGGGUCCGGGUGCGGGUUUAGCCUUUCUGGAUCUGGACCCGGACGCAUAUUUUUUAUACCGGACCCAAAAAUAAACCUGCCUUUUCCACUCCGGGCCCGGUCCAGGUUCAACCCGGGAAAAGUCGGGUUCCCAGAUUGCUGGUUUUCAACCCGGAUUGAUGAAUCCAAUUGAAAAAAAAAACUAAAUUCAAUUGAAAAAUCAAAUAGAAAUACAAAUCCAGGAUUUUAGCAAAUCAAGUACAAAUUUAGGUUUUAAACAAACCAAAUACAAAUCAGCUCGUUCAAUUCUUGGUUCAAUAUCAUCAUCAUUAUUGCUGCAUUUAAAUCAAAUCGAUCACGUUUCCAGCACUUUAAUCUAUUAACAGCAACAUCCAAGACUUUCAGUUUUCAACCCGUGAGUAGUUCUCCAGAUUUGUUGAGUGGUCGUUUUGAACCCUUCGAAACGGAUUGCCUUAUUUGUUAAAACUUCCUCCACCAAGCACUGUUCUAAUAUGUGUACGCCUGCAUCGUGUGCACUCCCCUCAAUAGCAACUAUCUCGCAUUCUUCCUUGGGAAGAGAAAGGGCAGUAUAGAACCGAUGUAACUCCUCAGAGUCCAUGUAGAGAACAGAUGAAAGACCGAAAGAGAAAGUUGAGAUGAGUAGGCGAAAGAGAUAAGAAAGUGAAAGCACUUCGGUUGAGUGAAUUAUCACAGCCAACAAUUAAAAAAUAUUUCAAAAUUAAAUAAACUAUAAAUAAUGAUGAUGAUGAACAAUCGCAUCACCGUUGGUUACCGGUCGCGCCAAAGAAGACAAGGAAACAGCGGCUGGUGAUUAUGAUGAUGAACAACCGUGAAGGUGAAAACGAUGAUUUGAUGAAGAUGAAGAUGAGCUAAAGAGGGACUGAGAGAGGAAAUGGUCGAUGCGGCUGUGAAAGUGUAAAUGAGCUAGGGUACCAUUUGGCAUUUGGGCUCUUUUUUUUCCUAUUUAUAUUAAAAAUAAAUUUAAAAAAUUAAUAUUAAAAUUAAUAAAUAUCCAGGUCCGGAUUCUGGAUAUACGGGUUCACCUGAAUUCGGAACCGGACCCGGAUAUAUGCGGAUUUUGAAAAUGGUAUCCGGAUAUCAGAUUUAUUUAAUCCGGUACGAGUUGAACCCGGUCCGAAAAAUCCAGGUUUCGUCUGGGUCCGGGUUGAAUUGCCAUCCCUAAACAAGCGUGACUGGUCAUUUUUCACUUCUCCAGACCCUCAUCGAUACCCAUAAAUAUUAGGCUCAAACUUUUUGUUCAUUUAGUUUGAACAUUACGAAAAAUAUUUAGUUUGAAGGAAAUCAUUAAUAGAAGGCUAAUUAAUAAUAGUACACAUACAAAUUAGUUAUGUCUACAAACUAGUAUGCGCAUUAACUAAGUUGAUCUGUAUGCAUCCAAUUGAUCAACUGUUUUUAAUUUAGUAUUAAAAAUCAACAAAUUAAUUUGUAAACUAAAAUAUUUAAUCUUUUGUUUCACUUACCGAUUCAAAAAUGUCAACAAAAAUUAAUUACCUGUAUAUGGUUGCUUGAUGCAGUAAAUGAGGCAUCUCCUACAUCAUGAACCUAAUUAGCUUUUAAAAACAUUAGAACUUAAGCAUAUCUAAAGAGAAAAUAAAAUUUAAAAAAAUUUGCGCACCUCUAACUUAAAAAAUAAAUAAAUAAAGUACUUUAAAAUUAUCAAAAUUUGAACACAGGCAACUUAAGUUUAACCAAAUAAUAUGGAUUUUUAAUCCAAAGCGAUGUGAUUGGAUUUGGAUGGUAGUAUUUUAAAUAACUCGGGGUGUAUUUCAAAAUCAUGGCCACUUAUCAAAUGGGCCAGAAAGGGCUGGGUUCGGUUUAUGUCGGUUGGGUUCAUCUGGCCCAAGUAACACACCCUACACAUAGUACACAAUCUCAAGUAGGCAAAAGGCAAGCUCACAAGUUGAAAAACGGGUUGAACUGGCACUCUUUUAUCUGAUUAUAUUAACUUCAACUUCACCGAAAUCAAAACCCUAGCUUUUUCACUUCAGUCUAAUCACAAUGGUGAGCGGCGAAUUUGAGAUCGGAGCCGUUCCAUUCAAUCCUGACGGCUGGGGCCCACCGGAAUCAACGGCAACCACAACCGCUGCCCUCCCUCUCCACGUGCCGUUUGCCCCCUUCUCCCGAUCCGAAAAACUUGGUCGGAUCGCGGACUGGACCCGCAACGCAUACAACAAUCCAUCAAACCGCCAAAACGCUAGCAAAAAUCCGGCCGACACCGUUUUCGACUUCUCCGCCGACGAUUCCUUUCCUCUGUCUGCCAAUCCCGACGACGACUCCUCCUUCCGUCUCGUGGACGGCAAGCCUCCACCGCGUCCGAAGUUUGGCCCUAAGUGGCGGUUUAAUCAGCACCACCGUCCUCAGUUGCCCCAGCGCCGCGACGAGGAGGUGGAGGCCCGUAAGCGCGAGGCUGAAAAAGAGCGGGCCCGACGUGACCGCCACUACAACCUCAACCGUUCUAACGUCAACCAGACCCGACGUGAAGCUGCAGUUUUCAAAUCCUCUGUCGACAUUCAGCCCGAAUGGAACAUGCUUGAUCAAAUUCCCUUCUCAACUUUUUCAAAACUUUCCUUCUCUGUUUCGGAGCCUGAAGACUUGUUAUUGUGUGGGUCCCUUGAGUACUACGACAGGUCGUACGAUCGUGUCACGCCGAAGAAUGAACGUAGGCUCGAGAGGUUUAAGUACAGGAACUUCUUCAAAGUUACUACCACUGACGAUCCAGUGAUUCGUAGACUUGCUAAUGAGGAUAAAGCAACGGUUUUUGCAACGGAUGCAAUUUUAGCAACGCUUAUGUGCGCGCCCAGGUCAGUUUAUUCGUGGGAUAUUGUGAUUCAACGAGUUGGGAAUAAGUUAUUUUUUGAUAAAAGGGAUGGGUCACAGUUAGAUUUGUUAUCUGUUCAUGAGACCUCUCAGGAGCCUUUACCUGAGGCUAAAGAUGAUAUAAAUUCUGCUUAUUCGUUGAGUGUUGAAGCAGCUUAUAUUAAUCAGAACUUUUCACAGCAAGUUUUGGUUAGGGAUGGUAAUAAGUUGACAUUUGAUGAGCCUAAUCCCUUUGCAAAUGAAGGAGAGGAGGUAGCUUCCGUAGCUUAUAGGUACAGAAGGUGGAAGCUUGACGAUGAUAUGUAUCUUGUUGCGAGGUGUGAGGUGCAGAGUGUUGUGGAUGUUAAUAAUCAGAGGUCGUUUUUGACGUUAAAUGCUCUUAAUGAGUUCGAUUCCAAGUACUCUGGUGUUGAUUGGAGGCAGAAGUUGGAGACUCAAAGGGGUGCGGUUUUAGCCACUGAGUUGAAGAACAAUGCUAAUAAGUUGGCAAAAUGGACUGCACAAUCGUUGUUGGCGAGUGCUGAUUUGAUGAAAUUGGGAUAUGUUUCAAGGGUUCAUCCACGUGAUCAUUUUAACCAUGUGAUAUUGGCUGUGAUGGGGUAUAAGCCAAAGGAUUUUGCCACCCAGAUUAACUUGAGUACUGCAAAUAUGUGGGGAAUUGUGAAGAGUAUUGUGGAUUUGUGCAUGAAGUUGAAUGAGGGGAAGUAUGUGCUUGUGAAGGAUCCAUCUAAGCCGCAAGUGAGGAUCUAUGAGGUUCCUCCAGAUGCAUUUGAGAAUGAUUAUGUGGAGGAGCCUUUGCCAGAGGAGGAGCAGGUUCAGCCACCUACUGAGAAUGCUGAAGGAGUGGAGGCAAAUGGAGCUGCAAAUGAUUUGGAUGAUGUUGUUGUUGAUGCUCAAGCUUGAUGGUAAUAUUCGCUAUUAUAUUUUAUUUAUUUUGGUUUAGCGUUUGCACUUUAAUGAGUUGUACUCUUUUAGCUACAUGUCUUCUAUAACUAUUGUUUGCAUUAAGAUUUGUAGUUUUUGUAUCUAUAAUAUAUAUGUCAAAGCAGCUGAAACAUGGUUAAUGAAUUUUUGUGGUUAAUGCUGGACAACAAUACUGAAUUCCAAGGUCAAGAUACUGGUUGUGAUAUGUUGAAUAUAUGUGAGAUGAGCUGAGAGGUUCCAGUAGUGUUUGCCUAUUUUGGCUUCUGCAUUCUAGGCAUGGUCCUUUUGGCGUUUCUGUCAUGCUAAGGAUUGAUAAGUUAAAUACUAGUAUGUCUCGGUUUCUUGCCUUAGCAUGCUGGGACUUGUUGGCCACUAGAAAAAGAGCACAUGAAAUAGGAACUAAAAGAAGAUCAAAGAAAGGACAUGAAGGGAUUUCUGUCCCUUAAUUCCAAGAGCAGAAAGGACAUAAGGACUGGAAAAGAGUGAGUUGACACUUUUGUCCUAUUACUCUGGGAUUAAGGUUGUUAUGUAACUUUUAUUAGUGGUGGCCGUUUGGAAUAAGAUGAUCCUAUGUUUCUUCUUAAAACCCUAGGAACUGAUUUUUUUAAUUUCCUUGACUGAAUACUUCAAAUGCUUGAUGUUAGGAUCAGUGAUAAGGAAUGCGUAAUUUUUCUCAGCGGUUAGCGAGAUAAGCAACUUAUGGCUCAAUUACUUCUCAAGCUGAAAUUGUCCUUUUACUCUAUUGCAAGGUUUUGAAGGUGAUCCAAGAAACAUAGUUCUUUCUUCGGAUCAAAACUUAAAAUACAAAGCAUAGAUAGAACUUCCUCUGUAAUCUUGAUCUUAGGGCAACAGGAUAAUUGUGCUUCCUGGCUGAAUUUGUAACUUGCAACAUGGCUACUAUUUUGUUUCCAUUCAUAAAAAACUAUGCUGUCUCAGUAUCUUAAAGAUUUAAUCAACUCCUUAAUUUUCAAUCGAAUAUCUUCUUCAGUGGAGUCCACUGUUUCUGUUAUACCUCGAUAUUGAACUGUUUAAUCUCUUAAAAGAGAUAAAGUGAAGGUACCCUGUUUCUUCUUAGGAUGUAUCCAACACUGUUGUUGUCUGUGGGCAACGGUUAUCUUCUUAACGGUGGCAACUAAUGCAUUUCCUACUGCAUCCAGUUCAUUGCAGUUGGUAGACUCUGAUUGUUUUUGCAUAUUCAAGCACACUGUUCUCACUGUACCACUUCCCUCCAUUGUUAACACCUGGUAGCUUGUUGUUACACUCUGACCAUUCCUUUAAUGGCUUGACCACUUCCUGAUAUGAGUUUUAGAUUCAUUUUAGUAUUAGUUGUAUUAUGUGAAUUAGUGCGAACUUUUUGAUUUGCAAAAGGUUGCUCAACCCUGUAGCGGAUUUGAAUUGCUGAUUGCUAAAUUACAAUUUGAUGAUUACAGGUCGAAGUCUUUUUUUUUUUCUGAAAACAGAUACCUGCCAGUGAGUGGUUUGCAUCAUGACAGUAGCAGACUAACAUGCUGAAAGGAUUCUGGCCCUUUUUGACCUGAUGUUUUUGAUGUUGUAAGUCAAGCAGCAGAAUACUUCAAUUAUGAUAGUGUAUGGUGCCCUUUGGAGAUCAGUGGUUAUAAUUAGUUGCCAUGACUUUUGUUGCUAUGGAUAAUGGAACCUUGUCUACAAUGAUUUUCAAGGUUUUAUGAUUAUUAUUUUUCACUUGUUUUGAAUUUUAAUUAUGAUUGAUUAUCUUUUGGCAUUGUCAUGCUUGACUUCAUUACGGAUAAACGAAGUGAACUCACUAGAUUGGUGGUGAUACUAUUAUUUAUUAUCUUGUUAUAUUGGCUGGCUGCUUUUGCCUUGUCAUCUCUUGUCAUACUUUGCACUUCGCCACAAAAUGGAUUUUACAGUCAAGACUAACUUGAGACCGAUUUAUAUAUAUGUGUGUGUGUGUGUGUGUCAUGUUUCCAUGCAUGCGUUUUUCCUUACAAGAUAACGCUAGUGUGGGAAGUUUUUCGAAGUUGGGCCAUUUAACAUUGGCAGCACAAAACUUGUUACCUACACCAAUUAAUCUUUGGAAGAGGAAGGUUGUGAAGGAUCCUGUGCGUAGAAGAUGUCAGAAUGAGAGAUCUCUUUCAAAACUGAACACAAUCUGAACCUUAAAUCGGAUUGGAUUCUGAUGGGAUGAAUAUGUCAGAUUAAUUUGGGAUAGGAUCAGACCAGGUUAAAUUCAAAUGACAAAUAUCAGUUGAAUUUGGGGGGGACGUCGAUGUGGUUACCAAUUGCCAAAGAAGGCUAAGAUUGUCUAGCCAAAUUGUGGGCAAAAGGAGAAUAAUAAGAGCAAUAAUGACAACAGAGCAUUGAUUUCCACCAAGUGUCAAUCCUUCAAGUUUAAUUGCCAUGUCUGGAAAAAGAUUCUCCAACUCCUCUCUUUCGAAGAUCAAGAAUCAAUUAGUAGAGGUGUAUGUUCAUGACAACUGAAACAAUUAGUCUUUCCUUCUUCCCAGAGGCUCGGUGCUGGCUGGUUCGGGAGUUGAUGUGGGUUUGGGGCUGCCGACUACGUUUGUGGCUGCGGGUUUGUGAAUCUGGCCAACGAUGUCAAUGCGGCUGGGUUCGUGGGUUUGGUUGGGUUCGUAGACUUUGUCUAAUUCAAGUUGACAAGUUCUUAUCCGAAUCCAAUCCAAUGCCUAGUCCUAGUAAGCAUGCUCAAAAGGUAUGGAAACUGACCGCUUUUCGUACGGUAAAUGUUGGGUGCACUUCAAGAGCUGGCAACGAGCAGAGCAUCUGAGCAUAUACUUUAGUGUGUCAGUGUAUGGUAGUAGUUCUAAUUAUAUAGUAUGAUUGUAAAUAUUAAUUGUAAUGUCUGAUGUAAUGUCAGUAAUAUCUCUGUAUAACAAACUUAAAAAAAAAAAAGUUAUAUGAUUUAACUGGAAUUCUAUGACAAAUGCAUGAAAAUAUUUGUUCAUAGAUUGGGAGUGAAAGAGUUUAUGAGAAGCUGAAACAAAACACAAAGUAAGAGAUAAAUGAAAAAAAUAAAAUAAAAAUGGUGGAAGGAUAAGCAAACAAGUAGGAGAGAGAAAUGUCAAUUAAGAAUUAUUAAUUAUAUACCAUUAGUAAAUUAUUAUUAAAAAAAUUAUGUUAAUGUGAUAUAAUCUAUACCAAAUUUAGUAAAAAAAAUUUAUGAUGUACUGCAUCAAAUAAUUCAACCGACCUCGAUCGCCAGUAAGUACCGGUUACUUGCGUCUCAACCAGGGAAGGGUUAAUGCCAUGUCAGUAAUCAACUGAGGGAUGCGUACUGAAAGAUGAUUUGGUCAAGAAUCAAGCCCAUGAAAACAUAAAAAUAAUACUAUAUUUACUUAAUUAGCAUAUUUAAUUUAUAUCUCAAUUAAAAUAAUAAAAAUUGUAUCAUUAUUUAAUUAGUUAAAGUAGUAGUUAAUCAAAAUAUAAUAUCUAACCUUCUAUAAAAGGACCAAAAUGCGGGACAGAGGAAUUACAUUUGCAGUUCCAUAUAUAAAAAGCUCAAUUACAUUAUCUAGAAAGUUAUCAUCUCCAGAGUUUUAAUUUAUUUCAUGCGUUGGAGCAAAUUUGACAUUCGCUUAGAUUUGGAAAUUUCUACUAUUAAUUUUACGCGAAAAACGAUUGAUAAAUUUUACACGACUUACCCAUCAAAUGAACCCAUUAUUUAACUUUGUCGGAAUUUAAUUAUAUUACGAUAAAUAAUAAACUUGAGUUUUCAAUUUUUAGGGUUUAAAAGAAGGAACCCUAAGGCUAAUUCUAGCUCUGAUUUAAUAUCAAUAACCCCAGUAUAAUAUUUUCUUUUCUCCUUGCCAUGUCGUUUUCUGAUUAAGUUUUCUAAGGUGUCAGAACAGAGAAAAGAUAAACAAAUAAAAAUAGAGCACAUAUAAUAAAUACACAACCUAGUUUCUAGACUCCGACGAUAAUUCGAAACCGAAAACGAAAGUGGCAAAAGCGAAAAUAGGGUUUCAUUUCUUUAUUUAUUUUAGGAAAAUUAUCAUUUUAUAUCCUGUAUUUGUUUUUGUUAAAAAUAAUAUCAAUCGUUCACUUUAAGCUGAUAAAAUAUAUCUAUCGACCACUAAAUCGUUAAUUAUCAUUUAAAAAUUAAUAUAAUUACAACGAAUUAACGAUUUUAUUCUUAAAACUUAAAUUAAAGUAAAGAAAAAUGAUCACUUAUAUAUUUUUAAAUUCUUUUAUUAUUAUUUGUGUACCUUUAAAUUAUCACUUCUAUACUUUUAAAUUCUUUUAUUAUCUAUCACUUAUAUCGUGUGGAAAAACUAAAUUACCCCUCUAAUGUCAUCACCUUUAAACAAUAACUAACAAUUUAGUAAAUAAUAGAUAUAUUUUAUCAACUUAAAAUAAAUAAUUAAUAUACUUUUAAAAUAUUAUAAUAUUUUUAAUAACGGAGGAAACUAAGGUUGCUUUAUUUUAUUUUCACUUUUCUUGUGAAACACAGGAACUUCAACGUUAAAAAUUAUUGUAACGUACAAUAUUCUUUCUUUAUCCACAAAGAGCUCGAAAUUUUAUCACUUACCAUUACUUUUUCGUUGGGCCCAUACCAAUCAUUCAUCUUAUUUACCACGGAAAUACCCACCCAGGUAUUUGGUAUGCUAGUGUAGUGUUUUUGGGAACAAUUUAGUCAUCAAGAUGUCUGGUUAUGGUGUAGCUAAUACCAAAAUUUGUAGAAGUAUCUAAAUAAAAACAAAUUGUGCGCUUUAUUUUGCUAAUAUUUUUUGUUCUAGUAAUUUCAUAGAAUUUAUAUUGGUACAGAGAUAGCUAUGUCUCAAGCCUAUAGUAAUUGCGAUUUUCUAAAUGGCUCAGCGUCUUUCCUUGGUCUGAGGAACAAACAUAGGGAUGAAACAAAAAUCUGGCAUCAGAAUCCAUGUGCUGGCUAUUUUUAACAUUGCUUUUUUGGGUUUCAACUAUCAUAGUCUAGAGUACUUUUGCACGCUUAAUUAAGUCAAUAACAGUGGAAAGUUUUCCAAUCAGCAUAAAGGAAUUCCCACAAGAAAUUGUUUGUUUUAAUAGAUUUAAUCUCUAAAAUAAAUGAGGAAAAAUUUCAGCUCAUAAAUAAACAAUUUGUCACUACAUAUGAACAACCUCAGAAAUUUUCAGAAUUAAAAAUCACUCAAAUCAUCUCUCAAAAAUUUCAGCUCAUAAAUAAAAUAAAUACCGGCAAGUGACAGAUCCGGGAGAGCAACAAUGGUUGGGCAAGUGCAGAUCCGGGAGAGCAACAACGAAGUAGCAGUAGACGAAGAUCCGAGAGAGCAAGUGCAGAUCCGAGAGAGCAAAGACUAAGUAGCAGCAGCUGGACGGAGUCGGAGUAGCAGUAGCUGGACGGAGUCGGAGCAGCAGCGGUUACGGCGGAGAAAGAGCAGCGGCAGUGGCUUGCACACCAAGAGCGACCAAGAGAGAGAUUUGCUGCAACUGGAUUGAGAAAAUUGAGGGGAAAUAGGGAGCUGCUGUGAAGAGAAAAGUGAGGGCUGCAGGGUCACGAUUUUUUGGUUGUUUUUUAAUUCAUUUUUAGUUUUAGUUUGUAAAAUUUGGAGAACAUGUUUAACUUAUUUUUUAGUUGUAUAGUUAUAAUAAUGAAUCCGGAUUUUGUGUUUUGUAAUUUAUUUUGUGAAACAAAUCCACCAAACAUGUUUUAUGUGUGUAUUAUAAAAAUGAAAACAAAAACAUAGCUUGCAAAACGGUACCAAACGGGGCCUAAGGUUCCUUUAUUUUAUUUGCACUUUUCUUGUGAAACACAGGAACUUCAACGUUAAAAAUUAUUGUAAAGUACAAUAUUCUUUCUUUAUCCACAAAGAGCUCGAAAUUUUAUCAUUCUUUCUUACUUUUUCGUUGGGCCCAUACCAAUCAUUCAUCUUAUUUACCAUUGACCAAGAGUUUUAGUAAAUAUCAUUAAUUUCCCAAAUCAAAGAAUCAACGCACUAUUUAAUUUAAUUUUAAAAAAUAAAGACGAGAGGUUCAGUAACCAGAGAAACAUCGGAAACUUCUACAUUGCCUCGCUACAUGCGCAAAAAUCCGGAGCCCACUCGCACGGUCUCACCGCUGCAUGUGAAUCUCUGAGCCACUUGUUCACAACGAUCACUUGGGAUUUAAUCACCUUGUAUUCCUAAUUAUCCUUUUAAAAUCAUCCUCCACCAGUAUAAUUUUUCCCUAGUAAGUAAAAUAACGUAUGGAACCCACUUAUUUGUCACUCUUUUUCUACACACAACACAUGUGGACAGACCUUUAAGUCUCCUUGAAUAAUAUAUACACACACUGACACUAUGGAGUCAAUUUGAGAUGUUAGAAGUUGUCUACACAUUUGACAUUGAAUAUCAGUAUUGUGAAUAUAUCAUUAGACUUUAAUAUUAGAUUUAAAAUUAAAAAAAAAAUUCAACAAAUUUUAUUUUGGACUCAACCAAACGCUAAAACAAAUUAACGAAUCAAUCUUGCAUUAUCUCAUUAUCUCUCUUCUUUUGCAUUAUGUUUGUGUCUACCUCACGGCAUAAUGCAUAACGCAUAAUGCAUAAUAAUAGCCCCACCACCAUACUAUAAAAUAAAAAUUUUAUCACAAAAAACCGCAGAUAAUCACGGCUUAAAACCCCUAUAAAUUCCCCCAAUCGGAGAUCGUUUUCACCACCUCUCUCUCGAUCUCUCACUCUCCCCCUAGUUGGCUGGCCAUCUUCUUUACUAGAGAUAAAAGAAGACUGAAAAAAAAAAAAACAAAAUGGGUAAAGCUUUACUGAUUGUUGUUCAUGUUUGUUUGGUCUUAGCCGGCUGCAGCUUCACUGUGUAUGGUGAACAGGUUUACACUGAGAGUUCCAUGGCUAUGCCACCAUCACACUACCACUCGGUAACCCCGGCAACGGCACCAGGCCAUAGCUUCACUGUGUAUGGUGAACAGGUUUACACUGAGAGUUCCAUGGCUAUGCCACCAUCACACUACCACUCGGUAACCCCGGCAACGGCACCAGGCCACCACCACCACCACCACCACCGCCGCCGCCGCAUCCGCGUCCGCCGCCGCCGCCGCCAUAUCCGCGUCCGCCGCCGCCGCCACCACCACCACCACCCCCACCCGCCGGCUCACCCAGCUUCACACGUUGCUCCUGCCCACCCACCUCCACCACACGUUGCUCCUGCUCACCCACCCACACCCACCCAUCGUUUCCCUAGGAGCCUUGUUGAAGUUCAAGGCGUCGUUUAUUGCAAGUCUUGCAAGUACGCAGGAGCUGAUACCCUCCUAGGAGCUACCGCUGUUCUAGGUCAGUUUCGAAAUCUUUCAACUUAAUUUUCCCUGCUUCAAACUCUUACAUACUUGAUUUUUUUCUAUCAUUAUUACUUCAAUUAAUUUCACAUGUAUGUUUAGUUAGAUAUCAUGCAUACAUAACAUACGUAUGGAUGCGAAUGUGCAUUUGUUUUCAUGGAUGCGUGAUGUAUACAUUUCCAGAUUUUGAAUGGAGAGAGAGAGAGGUGCUCUUGAUCUCUUUCUUUCACUUUGUUCUAGGUUUAUGUCACAUUCAGUAGGAGGCAUGGUUAUGGCAGCAUAGCUAGCUACUUUUUCCUUUUUCAAGCUCUCUUUUUGAAGUCCCUAGUAUUUAAAUUUUUUUUUAUUCUUUUAAUAUUGUCCAUGGGUUCAAUUGCAGGGGCGACUCUGAAAUUGCAGUGCAACAACACCAAGUAUCCACUCAAUGUGGUUGGCAAAACGGACAAGAACGGCUACUUCAGGAUCAAAGCACCCAAGACAAUCAUCAGCUACGGAGCUCACAAGUGCAAGCUGUUCCUAGUCACAUCACCCUCGGCUUCCUGCGCCAAACCGUCCAAUCUCCACGGUGGAGCCACCGGCGCCGUUUUGAGGCCUGAGUCACUCUCCGCAGGCAAACCUCCAGUUGCUCUCUACACCGUUGGCCCUUUGGCCUUUGAACCCAAAUGCCCACAUUAAUCUUAUUUUAAUUAUUUUACCCCCCCCUCCCCCCCCCCUCUCUCUCUAAUCUCUAUCUCUGUCUUUUGUUUCAGUCAUAUCGUAUCAUAUCCAGUGCUUUGUACCAAUCUUGUGUUGCAAACUUGUAAUGGGAAUGCCAGUCUGUUUGUUUCUAUUUGUACUGUGUCGCUUCGUUGGCAUUAAUAAAUUAUAGUAUCCCGCUAGUUUAAUUAGCAACAAAUAAAUUAUGAGGCUCAUUUUUUGAAUAUGAAUUAUAUUUAUAAAUGCAUAUGCUAUGGAUCAUGUUUUUUUUCCUUUUUUUUAAAGUUUUUGUCAUCAUAAAUGUACCCAUGUUAUAAAAUUUUACGGCGGAUCUAAAAUUAAAUGGUAAUUAUAUAUAUAUUUAAUCAAAACCAAGAAAAAGGGAAGUAAUGAAACUAAUUGAGUGGUCUGCCUAAUGGCAAACAUGAGAGACAUAGCAAUUGUUACUUUUUUCCUGGGAUACUGUUCAAAAAGAAAAGUCAAGUCCUUGGAAUUUGUUGACUCUCUUUUUUUUUACCUAGUAUUAUUAAAUUAAAUAAUCAUUUAUGUUAGUUAUUUUAAAUCUUAAUUUAUUUUGUGGCGCUGGCCCAUUGGUCAUGGAAAAUGUAAAACGACCGAAAUACAAGGUCUAUUGAGAUUUCCCGAAUGGUUAGAUCACAAUCACUUAACUAGCAUAGCACUGGACCGGUGAACUUUUACCCUCAUUACCCUCACAGAUAAUGAGGGUAAUGAGAAAUAAGAAUUAUGUAUAAUUGUGUAGAUUUAUUUGUAAGUUCUUUUCCUUAUGAAAUAAGAAUGGAGUAGAAAUAUUCUUCGUUUGUGAGGGCUAUUUAUCUGGACAAGGUACUUUAAUAGCUCCAAUUAUAUGUCUGAUUAUAAAUAUCAGUAUAAUUAUCUAUUGUAAUAACAAUUGUAAAUAUCUAAUGUAAUUCAAUAAUCUGGUGUAUUAUCGGUAUUUAAAAAAAAAACUAGGAAUGGAAGAUAAAUUGACAACCACUUAAAAUAAAAUAAAAAAUUUGAUGUAAAAAUUUUUAAUUUGUGAAAGAUAACUGCUGCGAUUAAACAUCUGCCCGAAAUGUUUUAGAUCACAAAUUUCAGAUUUUAAAAUGAUUAAAAUCACAUAUUCAUUUCAAUAGCACCUUUUUAGUGCAUAUUGUAGUUAGUUAACCGCGGUGUCCAACUUCAAAGUAAUAUAGAGCAUAUUAAAUUGCAUUCCAUAAUCGAUUUUGUACAUUUAAAGUACCACAUUAUUUUUACAAGUCAAUCACAUGUUUAUUCAUAUGCAUAUUUAGAUAGAAAAUUGGUAAAACAACACCCAAACAUCGUAUAUAUUUUCUCACAAUAAUUAUGCAUCACGUAAAAAAUAUUUCAAACGGUUUUUUUCUUUUUCUUUUUUUGGGAAAACAAAGCAACUUUGUGAGGUAAGUAGGAAUGAUGAUUAAAAUACAUUUUAAAAAUAUAAAUUUACAACUAUAAAUUGACAAAAAUGAUACGCAUCUCAUCAAUAAGCCCGCUAAAGUAAAAUAUUUGUGUAAUUCUAUCAUUAAUUCAAACUUUAAGGAGGAUCAAGCUACGGUACCACAGUGGUACCGUACCACUAUUUUUGUCUUUUUGUCAGCACAACUGUAAAUUUUUAUAGAACCCAUUUUACUCAAUUUUAUUUAAUCUUUGCUUUAUAAAUAUUAAGUUAAUUUCUACUGCAUCCAUAUGAACAUUUUACUUAGCACCUUAAACUAUUUACUAUUUACACAUUUUUAUUCUAUAUUGCACAUACAUCACAAUACCCCUCUCUUUAUCACAAUACCCACGAACCCGACUCGGAUUUUGUCUCCGUUUCCGGCCACUCCUCCGACCAAGGUUGGUACCGAUUGGAAGCUCGUGCGACGCCGGUCAUCUUCAUGCCAUCCUUGUCGCAAAAAAAAAUUCUGCUUCCUGGCUGAAUUUGUAACUUGCAACAUGGCUACUAUUUUGUUUCCAUUCAUAAAAAACUAUGCUGUCUCAGUAUCUUAAAGAUUUAAUCAACUCCUUAAUUUUCAAUCGAAUAUCUUCUUCAGUGUAGUCCACUGUUUCUGUUAUACCUCCAUAUUGAACUGUUUAAUCUUCUUAAAAGAGAUAAAGUGAAGGUACCCUGUUUCUUCUUAGGAUGUAUCCAACACUGUUGUUGUCUGUGGGCAACGGUUAUCUUCUUAACGGUGGCAACUAAUGCAUUUCCUACUGCAUCCAGUUCAUUGCAGUUGGUAGACUCUGAUUGUUUUUGCAUAUUCAAGCACACUGUACCACUUCCCUCCAUUGUUAACACCUGGUAGCUUGUUACACUCUGACCAUUCCUUUAAUGGCUUGACCACUUCCUGAUCUGAGUUUUAGAUUCAUUUUAGUAUUAGUUGUAUUAUGUGAAUUAGUGCAAACUUUUUGAUUUGCAAAAGGUUGCUCAACCCUGUAGCGGAUUUGAAUUGCUGAUUGCUAAAUUACGAUUUGAUGAUUACAGGUCGAAGUCUUUUUUUUUCUAAAAACAGAUGCCUGCCAGUGAGUGGUUUGCAUCAUGACAGUAGCAGACUAACAAGCUGAAAGGAUUCUGGCCCUUUUUGACCUGAUGUUCUUGAUGUUGUAAGUCAAGCAGCAGAAUACUUCAAUUAUGAUAGGGUAUGGUGCCCUUUGGAGAUCAGUGGUUAUAAUUAGUUGCCAUGACUUUUGUUGCUAUGGAUAAUGGAACCUUGUCUACAAUGAUUUUCAAGGUUUUAUGAUGAUUUUUUUCACUUGUUUUGAAUUUUAAUUAUGAUUGACUAUCUUUUGGCAUUGUCAUGCUUGACUUCAUUAAGGAUAAACGAAGUGAACUCGCUAGAUUGGUGGUGAUACUAUUAUUUAUUAUCUUGUUAUAUUGGCUGGCUGAUUUUACAGUCAAGACUAACUCAAGACUGAUAUAUAUAUAUGUGUGUAUGUGUGUGUGUGUGGGGGGGGGGGGGGGGGGGGGGGGGGGGGGGGGGGGGGUGGGGGUGGGUGGGUGUGGGUGUGGGUGUGUGUGGGGGAAUGUGUGUGUGGGAAGUUUUUCGAAGUUGGGUGGCAGCACAGAACUUGUUACCUACACCAAUCUUUGGAAGAACGUUGUUGAAGGAUCCUGUGCGUAGUAGAUGUCAGAAUGAGAGAUCUCUUUCAAAACUGAACACAAUCUGAACCUUAAAUCGGAUUGGAUUCUGAUGGGAUGAAUAUGUCAGAUUAAUUUGGGAUAGGAUCAGACCAGGUUAAUUCAAAUGACAAAUAUCAGUUGAAUUUGGGGGGGGACGUCGAUGUGGUUACCAAUUGCCAAAGAAGGCUAAGAUUGUCUAGCCAAAUUGUGGGCAAAAGGAGAAUAAUAAGAGCAAUAAUGACAACAAAGCAUUGAUUUCCACCAAGUGUCAAUCCUUCAAGUUUAAUUGCCAUAUCUGGAAAAAGAUUCUCCAACUCCUCUCUUUCGAAGAUCAAGAAUCAAUUAGUAGAGGUCAUGACAACUGAAACAAUUAGUCUUUCCUUCUUCCCAGAGGCUCGGUGCUGGCUGGUUCGGGAGUUGAUGUGGGUUUGGGGCUGCCGACUACGUUUGUGGCUGCGGGUUUGUGAAUCUGGCCAACGAUGUCAAUGCGGCUGGGUUCGUGGGUUUGGUUGGGUUCGUAGACUUUGUCUAAUUCAAGUUGACAAGUUCUUAUCCGAAUCCAAUCCAAUGCCUAGUCCUAGUAAGCAUGCUCAAAAGGUAUGGAAACUGACCGCUUUUCGUACGGUAAAUGUUGGGUGCACUUCAAGAGCUGGCAACGAGCAGUGAGGAAGGAGAACACACUGAAUCGGAUUCCUCUUAAUACGAAAGGCAGCAAGGCAGCAAUAUUUUGUGUAUCAAACAACUUCUUGAACUCCAUUUCCUUCAUCUAGCACAAUUGAUGAAAUAAUAAGUCAAUAACAAGCAGAGAGUCUCCUGUGAUAAUUUGAAAAGUAAAACUAUCUUUC